CACCAGAAGCUGGAAGAGGCUGAGAAGAAUGGCAGCAGGGCUCUGCCAACACUUGAUUUCAGACUUCUGGCCUCCAGAACAGUGAGAGAAUAAAUCUCUGUGGUUUUAAGCUUCUGGGUUUGGUAAUUUGUUAUAGCAGCCCUAGGAAAGUAACACACCAAGCGAAUGACAUAAAAAACCAACACAAAUGGUCAAUAAAUAUUAAAAGUCAGCCUGAGCAUCUUUUUUAUGAAUUACUGGCCAUUUGUAAUUUUGCCUCUAUCUUUGCUGUCAUGUAUCCCAUUCUCCACAGAGCAGCCAGAAUGUUCUUUCUACAAAGUAUAUUAGAUUAAAUCAGAUUCCUCUGGAGGGGCAGAAUCAACCAAUAUCUGCUAUAUUAGGAUUAGUUUGGGUACAAGUAACAGCAAACCCAAAUAUCAGAGGCUUAAAUAAAUAACAUCACUUAAGAUGGUACUAGGAGUUCCAGUCGUGGUUCAGCGAUACGAACCCAACUAGGAUCCAUGAGGAUGUGGGUUCAAUCUCUGGUCUUGCUCAGUGGAUUGAGGAUCUGUCAUUGCCCUGAGCUGUGGUGUAGAUGUGGCUCAGAUCUGGCGUGGCUGUGGCUGUGGCGUAUGGCAGCAGCUGGAGCUCUGAUUUGACCCCUACACUGGGAAUGUCCAUAUGCCAUGGGUUCAGCCCUAUAAGUAAAAAAAAGAGGGGGACUAGAAGUUUGUAGAUUAGGGACUCAAUAGUGCCAGGAAUAACUUAGCUGCUUUAAAACCGUGAAUCUACUCCUCCAUUCUCAGAUCAAUGUGACCCUAAUUCCUAUUCCAUCUCUACUUAUCCUAGUGCUCUAUUUUCUGCAAUUCAAAAUCAUCAAAGCAUAAUCAUCAAAACCCUCUAAUGACUCAAUCUUCUCAGAAUGUUUCCUUCUCUUUGUUGUUUGGAUGGUUACCUGCUCUCCUUGGAAGACUGUGCUUCUUUUGCAGAGUCACUCUGUGGUACUGGCUGUCUUUAUCCCACACUUCUCACAUCCUGAACCUGAGAGUGUCAGGUGACCUCCCUGAUAUACAUUAGGGCUUCAUGACUAUUUUCCUUCCUUCUUCUUUAAACCUCCCAGCUUUGAACUGUUAAAUGAUGCCACCAGCAUCCCCUCCAUACAGCAGUCAUCCACAGGUACUCACUGUAAUUCUUUACCAUUCUCUCCAACAUCAUUCUAUCAUAAUUCUUGGUAAUUUAAUGAUUCAUUCAUAUGAUUUUUCCAACCCCUGGCUUCUCAGUUCCUUGACCUCCUCUCCUCUAAAAUGUUCAUCUUCUGUCCUACUUCACCUGAUCCCAAGGUUUAUUGCUUAGACUUCCACAUAAGUAAUAAUUAAUCCAUUUGUAAACUCAGUUUCAGGCAUUCACUCAUUGAAGCCUGUCUCCAAUUAUUUCAUCUUAGCAUCACAUCCAUGGGACUUUAAUGCAUUGAACUUACUUUUUCACCGUCCCUCAAUUCUUCUCAUUUCCUGACUUCCAUCUCCAUCAACCUUAAAUUCCAGGGUCAUUUCUUAUAAUCACACUCAGCUAAAUUCAUGAUCCCCAAGAUCAAAUGGCUCUUACGUUUUUGAGUAACCUGAUUUCCUUAGUUUAUUCAGUUUCCAUAUUCCUAGAUAACUAUUUAUUUUACACUUUUUAUAAUCUCCUCAAAUGAAUGUCUCCUUCAUUAUAUCCUUGUCUCCUGCACUCAAGUCUAAUAUUUCCAGCAGCUUCACCAGACAUCUCUGGAUGAUUGUCUCAUAGGUAGGUAUCACAAAUUUAAAAUGUCUUAAACCAAACUCUCCACCUUCUACUGAAAAUAUGCUCAAAUAGAGAAUUCCCAUCACAGUGAGCGGUAACUCAAUUCUACCCUUUAGCGGAGGACAAAUAUUUAUUAAAUUAAUUAUGUAACUUUCAAAAAUUCAGGGUCUUUCAUUGUCAGGUCAUGGGUUCAAGAUAGCUGCUAUAGUGUUAAAACACCUAUACAUCAUCAGAAUAUUCAAUGCCAGGAAACAAUGGUGAAAAAAAAAUAUGGUUUAAAUCUUGCCUUUUGUCAGGUAACAAAACAUUUACUAAGGUGCCCCUUCACAGCUUACUUUCCCUUAUCUAUUAUUGGCUAGAAUUAGUAUACAUUACCAACCCUGGAUGCAAGGAAGACUUGGAAAUUGGAAAUUUAAUUUCUAUGACUUGUUUAGACCAAUUCAUCCUUUGCUCCCAAGCACCUUUCCUUUCAUAUCUUUUAAUUCUUACUUGGACUUAUAUGGCAGUUAUAAAAUACACAGCUCUCUAAAAGAUAAAAUUCAAAAUGUGUGGCAUCUAAUAAAAAACUACCAGGCAUACAAAUAAAAAGGAAAACAUGAUACAUAAUGAUGAGAUAAAUUAAUUAAUAUAAAUGACACUAAAAUGAUAACAAUAAUAGAAUUAGACAAGAAUAUUCUAAAAUAAUUUAACUGUAUUCAAUGUGUUUGAGAAAGUAAACAUAAACAUAUCAGUCAUAAAAGAUAUAUUCUUAAAAACUGAACAUCAAGAAAUGUAAAACAUGUUUAAGAUUUAAAAUAUAUGAUUAACAGUAGAUUAAGCACUAUAAAAGAAAAUAAUGCAAAAUAUGAAAACAUAGCAAUGGAAACUAUCAAAAAUGAAACACUAAGGGGAAAAAAAAGCCUGAAAAUAUGGACAAAACGUCAGUAAGAUGUGGGACAAUUUUAGUGAGUCUAAUGUAUGUAUAUUUGGAAUCCUGAAAUUGAAAGAGGGCAAAUAGAUAAAAACAUACAUAUGAAAGCAUAAUGGCCAAAAAUUUUCCAAACUUGAUGAAAACUAUAAACUCACAGAUUCAAGAAACUCAAAGAAACCAAAUUAUGAGGAAACUACACUAAUGCACAUUUCAGUCAAAAUAAUUAAAACCAGUGACAAAGAUCUUAAAGUAACCUACCAUUAAAUGGAAUAAAAAUAAAAACAGACUUCUCCAAAGAGCAACUACAAGCUAGAAGACAAUGGCAAAUUUCUUUAACAACAACAAAAACAAACUUUCAAACUGGAAUUCUAUAC
RNAcentral lists this long non-coding RNA (3042 nucleotides) under Sus scrofa (pig). RNAcentral's name for it is "lncRNA (ENSSSCG00025070191.1)". Lineage: Eukaryota; Metazoa; Chordata; Mammalia; Artiodactyla; Suidae. The record is from RNAcentral.